RNAcentral lists this ribosomal RNA (524 nucleotides) under Puccinia impatientis. Its description in RNAcentral is "eukaryotic LSU rRNA". It matches the Rfam family "Eukaryotic large subunit ribosomal RNA", at positions 72 to 601 of the family's 3401-position model. The record is from RNAcentral. Lineage: Eukaryota; Fungi; Basidiomycota; Pucciniomycetes; Pucciniales; Pucciniaceae.
GGAUUCCCCUAGUAAUGGCGAAUGAAGAGGGAAAAGCCCAAAUUUGUAAUCUGGCUCUUUCAGAGUCCGAGUUGUAAUUUUAAGAACUGUUUUCAGUGCUGGACCAUGUACAAGUCUGUUGAAAAGCAGCAUCAUAGAAGGUGAUAAUCCUGUUCAUGAUAUGGACUACCAGUGCAAUAUGAUACAGUCUCUAAGAGUCGAGUUGUUUGGGAAUGCAGCUCAAAGUGGGUGGUAAAUUCCAUCUAAGGCUAAAUAUUGAUGAGAGACCGAUAGCAAACAAGUACCGUGAGGGAAAGAUGAAAAGAACUUUGGAAAGAGAGUUAACAGUACGUGAAAUUGUUAAAAGGGAAACAAUUGAAGUUAGACUUGUUAUUGUUGGUUCAACCUUUUGUUAAAGGUUUAUUCUAAUAUUAACAGACCAACAUCAAUUUUUGGGUGUUGGAGAAGGGUUUAAGGAAAUGUAGCAGCCUCUGGCUGUGUUAUAGUCCUGAGCUUUGAUACAAUGCUUAAGAUUGAGGAAUGCA